Molecule: small RNA, 23 nt
Filed under: Arabidopsis thaliana (thale cress)
Lineage: Eukaryota; Viridiplantae; Streptophyta; Magnoliopsida; Brassicales; Brassicaceae
Description: ATSL150150
Source: RNAcentral
GUUUUUUUCUUCUUCUUUCUUUU